UUUGGGUGAAACGCCAGUCUAAGUUCCUUGGAACAGGACGUCAUAGAGGGUGAGAAUCCCGUAUGUGACUGGAAAUGUUAACCUAUGUAAAGCUCCUUCGACGAGUCGAGUUGUUUGGGAAUGCAGCUCUAAAUGGGAGGUAAAUUUCUUCUAAAGCUAAAUAUUGGCGAGAGACCGAUAGCGCACAAGUAGAGUGAUCGAAAGAUGAAAAGCACUUUGGAAAGAGAGUUAAAAAGCACGUGAAAUUGUUGAAAGGGAAGCGCUUGCAAUCAGACUUGUUUAAACUGUUCGGCCGGUCUUCUGACCGGUUUACUCAGUUUGGACAGGCCAGCAUCAGUUUCGGCGGCCGGAUAAAGGCUCUGGGAAUGUGGCCUUCACUUCGGUGAAGGUGUUAUAGCCCAGGGUGUAAUACGGCCAGCCGGGACUGAGGUCCGCGCUUCGGCUAGGAUGCUGGCGUAAUGGUUGUAAGCGACCCGUCUUGAAACACGGACCAAGGAGUCUAACAUCUAUGCGAGUGUUCGGGUGUCAAACCCCUGCGCGUAAUGAAAGUGAACGGAGGUGGGAACCGCAAGGUGCACCAUCGACCGAUCCUGAUGUCUUCGGAUGGAUUUGAGUAAGAGCAUAGC
RNAcentral lists this ribosomal RNA (626 nucleotides) under Aureobasidium melanogenum. RNAcentral's name for it is "partial large subunit ribosomal RNA". It matches the Rfam family "Eukaryotic large subunit ribosomal RNA", at positions 163 to 806 of the family's 3401-position model. Lineage: Eukaryota; Fungi; Ascomycota; Dothideomycetes; Dothideales; Saccotheciaceae. The record is from RNAcentral.